Long non-coding RNA from Gorilla gorilla gorilla (western lowland gorilla), 321 nucleotides. RefSeq lists it as uncharacterized. The transcript has 3 exons. The record is from RefSeq and is a predicted model, not a curated record. NCBI's taxonomy places the organism in Eukaryota, Metazoa, Chordata, Mammalia, Primates, Hominidae.
UUCAUUUGUGACAAUGGAUAUCUAAUUGUUCUAGCACCAUUCUUUGAAGAGGCUAUCUUUCCUUCAUUGAAUUGCUUUUGCACCUUGUCAAAAACAAGAAUAAGGUUAUAUAUGUCUACAAAACACUUGGCUGGAAUUUUGUUGGGAAUUUAAUUAAAUCUGUGGACCAAUUUGGGAAGAAUUGAUUCAUUUUCUUUUAAAAGCUGGAGUGCAAUGUCAUGAUCUCGGCUCACUGCAACCUCCACCUCCCAAGUUCAAGCGAUUCUCCUGCCUCAAUCUCCCAAGUUGCUGGGAUUACAGGCACCAACCACCAUGCCUGGC